UGCUAUACAUGCAAGUCGAGCGGACAGAUGGGAGCUUGCUCCCUGAUGUUAGCGGCGGACGGGUGAGUAACACGUGGGUAACCUGCCUGUAAGACUGGGAUAACUCCGGGAAACCGGGGCUAAUACCGGAUGCUUGUUUGAACCGCAUGGUUCAAACAUAAAAGGUGGCUUCGGCUACCACUUACAGAUGGACCCGCGGCGCAUUAGCUAGUUGGUGAGGUAACGGCUCACCAAGGCAACGAUGCGUAGCCGACCUGAGAGGGUGAUCGGCCACACUGGGACUGAGACACGGCCCAGACUCCUACGGGAGGCAGCAGUAGGGAAUCUUCCGCAAUGGACGAAAGUCUGACGGAGCAACGCCGCGUGAGUGAUGAAGGUUUUCGGAUCGUAAAGCUCUGUUGUUAGGGAAGAACAAGUACCGUUCGAAUAGGGCGGUACCUUGACGGUACCUAACCAGAAAGCCACGGCUAACUACGUGCCAGCAGCCGCGGUAAUACGUAGGUGGCAAGCGUUGUCCGGAAUUAUUGGGCGUAAAGGGCUCGCAGGCGGUUCCUUAAGUCUGAUGUGAAAGCCCCCGGCUCAACCGGGGAGGGUCAUUGGAAACUGGGGAACUUGAGUGCAGAAGAGGAGAGUGGAAUUCCACGUGUAGCGGUGAAAUGCGUAGAGAUGUGGAGGAACACCAGUGGCGAAGGCGACUCUCUGGUCUGUAACUGACGCUGAGGAGCGAAAGCGUGGGGAGCGAACAGGAUUAGAUACCCUGGUAGUCCACGCCGUACACGAUGAGUGCUAAGUGUUAGGGGGGUUUCCGCCCCUUAGUGCUGCAGCUAACGCAUUA
This 835-nucleotide ribosomal RNA is filed under the name Bacillus subtilis. RNAcentral's name for it is "bacterial SSU rRNA". It matches the Rfam family "Bacterial small subunit ribosomal RNA", at positions 45 to 862 of the family's 1533-position model. Lineage: Bacteria; Bacillati; Bacillota; Bacilli; Caryophanales; Bacillaceae. The record is from RNAcentral.